AGUUACUGCCACCCUCUCCCAGGUCUAGAGAGGGGUACCCACGGUGGAGGGAGGUGGGAGGCCGAGACGGCCCCGGGGGUCGGCGGAGACCCAGCGGGAGCAGGGGGAAAUCGGAAGAGCUGGGGGCAUGGAGCGGGCGAGUUUGGAGCGGAAUGAGCCGGGAGCCCUACGUUGUGGAAGGAAGACAACAGUAUAGGACCAUCAGCAGGACCGGACAGAGAGGGCCCUGGCUGUCCUGGAACUUGUAGACCAGGCUGGCCUUGAACUCAGAAAUCCGCCUGCCUCUGACUCCCGAGUGCUGAGAUUAAAGGUGUGCACCACCACACCCGACAAGGAAGCCUGUUUUAAGAAGUGAUUCCAUGGAGGAGUUCUGCGGCGGCUCAGGGCUUGACUAAACAGUGGACCUCAGGGUCCCAUUUCUCUCAGUAGACAAGAGAGGCUAAACCAGGCUGCAGGUGACAGGAAGAAUUGAAUAAACUGAAAGCAAAGGGCAGCCUUCUAAUUACGCUUCGUGGCUAUGUGGACAACCUGGAGAAGUCUGGAAACAAGCCAGAAGCCCGAAGCCAGCAGUAGAGCUCUGACUGGCUUGUAUGCCUAGAAAGGAAGGGCUCUUCUUUCGCCUCACGGGCACAAAUGGGACCCACGAGCGCCGAUUUCAGACUAUUCUGAUCCCUUCAAAAAGAAAGUUAGGAGUCCAGGCUACUUCACUUUGGUGAUAGUAAUCAAACCCUAAUCACGGUGCAGCCACAAGUCACAGAGACCGAAAUAGCAGACUUAUGACAGACAAGGAUGGAGACAGCUAAGGAACUGGCUAUUAAUCACCAGUCCCUCUGCUCACAGCCCAUUGGACCCGAGGGUGAAGGAUGAGGAGGAUGGAAGAAAAUGGGAGUGGCGCUUGCUGCAAAGGGUCUCGAAGGGUCUCAGCACCUGCGAACUGGCUCCAAUCCAAACUCCACUAUUCAUGGUCAAGUUCACAUAGGGCUUGGGGUUCUAACAAGAUGUGACUAAACUUACGUUUUCUAUCUUA
RNAcentral lists this long non-coding RNA (1027 nucleotides) under Mus musculus (house mouse). RNAcentral describes it as "predicted gene 20544". The record is from RNAcentral. Lineage: Eukaryota; Metazoa; Chordata; Mammalia; Rodentia; Muridae.